GUACUCGCUCGCCCCGCUUAACAUUUUGUAAACCCGCUUAUAAUUAAGAAAUAAACUGGAAUCCUAGAAAAAAGAAAUACAGUCCACUUAAUUCGCCAACAGGCUCCAAAAAGGCUUAAAAUGUAAUGAAGGUCUUUAAAUAAAAAUAUCACUUAAAUUGAAAUAUACUAAUUUUUCCAAAAAAUAUACCAGAAACUGUGCGCCGUUCUAUGCGAUUCUCAAAAGUUGUACAUAAGCAGUGCCCACUUUCAGUAUUAAAAAAAGUGGAAAAAAUUUUAGUGACCAUUUGCUGAAGGACUGAGUGGUACCCCCAAAAACCGAACAACCCACCGCUUAUUAUUAUUCCAAGUUAGAACUUGGAGUAGUUCAUGGGUUCCUAAGUGCAUUCGCUGAAGUGCAGUUCCUGGAUGCAACUGCUCCUACUGGAGCAACAGCCCUAGCGUCCAGGAGUUGCUUUUUGGACCUUACAAGAAGGGGAAAGUAAACAGAGCAACAAGACAAGGAGGCCGAAGGCGGAGAACUGAUUUACAGCAAGGCUACCUUAUUGAAAGUCUCCCCUUUAUUCGCAUUCUUGAAUCUUCAUGAAUUCGAAGAUUGAAGCUUUCAAAACCCAAUAACCUGGAUUAAUUCUUCGGCUUAGAAGUACAUUCGUUGAUUUUAGCAACUGAAUCCAGGAGCUGGAUUUCAGGAUAUGCGCUUUGAAGAACAAUAUCUUCUGAUAACAUGGAUUUACUUCUUACGGAUCCUUUCAAAAAGGGAAAAUGAAUCUUAAGGAAGGACACUGUGAUGUUUAUAGAAGCCAAUUCUGAGUCUCCGGAUCUAUGCUUUGUCAUCGUAAGGAGCUCGUCUAUCUCAUCGCUUAACACCGUUGUGAUGGUCUCAUCCAUGAACUUUCCUAAGACGGAUCUAAGAGAAGCUAUUCCCGGAAUUGCCCUAGUAACGAUCGGAUUUAUGAAUUUCCAUCAAAUCGAGUAUUGGAUUGGAUUGUAUGCUGAGAUACGAACGAAUGAAACCAAGUAAUUUAUAGACUUCCGUGCUCAUGGAUGGUGAAAAUUAUGUACUUGAUUAUACCAUCGGUUGGAGGAGGAGUGGAGGAUGUGUGCUUUACCACAUUUCAGCGAUGAUUUUUCUUUACAAAGGAUGUGCGUUCAAUUUACUGUAAAAGGAUCAACUGAUCUUGCUGGAGCAACAGCCUUAGCGUCCAGGAGUUGCCUUUUGGACCUUACAAGAAGGGAAAGUGUAUGCAUUCAACGAAUGAUUACUGACAGUUUCCCUGAACUUGUUCUUUUUUUUUUUAAAGAAAAGUGUAACAAGGGGUUGAGGUUGAGAACUGAUAUACUGCACGUCUACCUUAUUGAAAGACUGCCCCACCAACGACUUCAUUGUAUCGAAUAUUGGAGAGGGUGGUAGGCUGAGGCGCAAAUAAAUAAGAGGAUCAUCCAAUUAGUCUGAAGGAGAAGAAUUUGAAUAGUUGCUGCAAGCAAAUGAUCUAUCUGGAGUACAUUGGACACUGAUGGCAGUGGACAGGGAAAGAUCUAUCACUUCCACUGUCACAAUGGCUACUAAUGCGAUCCAAAUCAUUGUCUUGGAAAAGUUAUCUAAGCAGGGAGACGGAAAAGUUGGCUAUUGUUCUUCUGUGGGGACUGCCAAAAGUUGGAUCCUUCGGAGGAAGUGCUACUGAUGCUGGUUUCCAGGGAUUAAUCGGAAGCCAAAGUUUAGGCAUUGCUUCCAAUUUCUAUGGUCUGGAUUAUUGGAAUUACAUCAAAUCGAAGAUUAGUCUGAAGGAGUAAAUGCAUUCACAGCUGCAUCCAGGGAUUACAUCGGCGGGUGCACACCCAAACCCUGGCUCUGUUUUAAGUUAGAACUUUAACUUACAUAUGUAGUCUUGGAUGCACCUGCUCCAUCGCCCAGGACUUCUGCUUCAGUGUGUGCCUUUUCAAGGCCAAUACCUUCUGUUAACUGAACUUAACCAUGGACUUUCCUCUCUCGGACUGGACAAAGAGGGGACGAACUCACGAACUUCUUCAAUAAGAAAAACUUGGCUAACUUUACUCUGAAUUUCUAAUAAAUAUGGACUCGUAAUUAUGUUUUUCAAAUUAAAAGUGUAUUGAACAAACUGCA
Drosophila eugracilis is the source of this 2121-nucleotide long non-coding RNA. RefSeq lists it as uncharacterized. NCBI's taxonomy places the organism in Eukaryota, Metazoa, Arthropoda, Insecta, Diptera, Drosophilidae. The transcript is spliced from 5 exons. The record is from RefSeq and is a predicted model, not a curated record.